Molecule: ribosomal RNA, 252 nt
Filed under: uncultured bacterium
Lineage: Bacteria
Description: partial 16S ribosomal RNA
Rfam family: Bacterial small subunit ribosomal RNA
Source: RNAcentral
ACGGAGGGUGCGAGCGUUAAUCGGAGUUACUGGGCGUAAAGCGCGCGUAGGCGGUUUUGUAAGUCGGAUGUGAAAGCCCUGGGCUUAACCUGGGAAUUGCAUUCGAUACUGCAUAACUAGAGUACGGUAGAGGGAAGUGGAAUUCCGGGUGUAGCGGUGAAAUGCGUAGAUAUCCGGAGGAACACCAGUGGCGAAGGCGACUUCCUGGGCCAGUACUGACGCUGAGGUGCGAAAGCGUGGGGAGCAAACAGG